UACGGAGGGUGCAAGCAUUAAUCGGAUUUAUUGGGCGUAAAGGGCGCGUAGGCGGACUGAUAAGUCGGAUGUGAAAGCCCGGGGCUCAACCCUGGAACGGCAUUCGAAACUGUCAAUCUAGAGGGUAGGCGGAGAAAAUGGAAUUCCACAAGUAGCGGUGAAAUGCGUAGAUAUGUGGAAGAACACCGGUGGCGAAGGCGGUUUUCUAGCUUACUCCUGACGCUGAGGCGCGAAAGCUAGGGGAGCAAACAGG
Molecule: ribosomal RNA, 253 nt
Filed under: uncultured bacterium
Lineage: Bacteria
Description: partial 16S ribosomal RNA
Rfam family: Bacterial small subunit ribosomal RNA
Source: RNAcentral